UACGAAGGUCCCGAGCGUUGUUCGGAAUCACUGGGCGUAAAGGGCGCGUAGGCGGCGCGGUAAGUCAGAUGUGAAAUCCCGGGGCUCAACCCCGGAACUGCAUCCGAUACUGCCGUGCUAGAGGAUUGGAGAGGUAGCUGGAAUUCUUGGUGUAGCAGUGAAAUGCGUGGAGAUCAAGAGGAACACUCGUGGCGAAAGCGAGCUACUGGACAAUAUCUGACGCUGAGGCUCGAAGGCCAGGGUAGCGAAAGGG
RNAcentral lists this ribosomal RNA (253 nucleotides) under uncultured bacterium. RNAcentral describes it as "partial 16S ribosomal RNA". It matches the Rfam family "Bacterial small subunit ribosomal RNA", at positions 524 to 776 of the family's 1533-position model. The record is from RNAcentral.